RNAcentral lists this small nuclear RNA (20 nucleotides) under Arabidopsis thaliana (thale cress). Its description in RNAcentral is "snRNA_18554". Lineage: Eukaryota; Viridiplantae; Streptophyta; Magnoliopsida; Brassicales; Brassicaceae. The record is from RNAcentral.
CCUUCCUUGGAUGUCUGAGA